UUUCUGCUUAUAGUUCUUAAAGAAAACAAAAGAAUCAUAGAAUUUAUCGCAUGAAUUUGAUAUUAUCAAAGGAGAUUCUGGAUCCCUGCACCAUCUUAAUAUAUCCUAACUUCGAUUCUCUAUUUAUUGAUUUAUUUUCUAUUUGCAAAACAUCAUCUUAAUCCACAAGUUUAUUGUAUUUAUUAAAUCUGAAAUUACGCUAAUAAUCCAUAUUUCGUUCCCUGAGGAAUCGACCUCGGACUCCCGAGUUAUACUGCUUGUGCGAUUCUCCUGCACUUGGGAGAACAGUUUUUCAAAAGCACCAGCUCUCUUUUACCGUCGUGCCUUUCUUCAUUUGAAAUUAAGUGACUCUAAUUACAAGCAUUGUCCAUCUGAAGAGGAGUGGGGUAAAGUUGAGAAGAUUAGCAGGUUGUUGAGUGUAUUCUAUGAUGCUACUUUAGUAUUCUCCGGAGCUAAAUAUCCUACAUCAAACCUAUAUUUUUCUCAAGUUUUCUUGAUUGAGCUUACUCUAAGGCAAGAGAUGCAGAGUGCAGAUGCUUUCAUACAAAGAAUGACACGGCAGAUGUAUCAAAAAUUUGAAAAGUAUUGGUCGGAUCAUAGCUUAAUCUUGUCCAUGGCAGUUAUUUUGGAUCCUCGGUACAAAUUUCAGUUUGUGGAGUAUUGUUAUAAGAAGUUGAAUGGGUAUGGUUCUACUGAGAGCAUGCACAUCCGUGAUUGUAUGUUUUCUCUCUUUAAUCAGUAUAUGCUUGCUUCUUCUAAAACUCCAACUACUAUCACAUCAACUCAUGGAGAUAUGGAGACCGAUACUUCUUCUAAAACUUCUGAGGCAUUUAGAAAAGCAGAUGCUUUUAAGGAUUUUGAUACAUUUGAAAGCUUUGAUUUUGUGACUACUGCACAGAAGUCUCAAUUGGAACUAUAUUUGGAUGAGCCUAGAGUUGAUAGGAUGUCCAAUUUGGAUAUCUUUGAUUUUUGGAAAACCAAGCAGUCUCAUUAUCCUCAACUUUCUCUUAUGGCACGUGAUAUUCUAACUAUUCCAAUAUCUACAGUCGCCUCUGAAUCUGCUUUUAGUAUCGGUGGGUGAGUACUUGAUAAGUAUCGUAGUUCUCUUAAACCGGAUAUUGCCGAGGCCUUGAUUUGUACUCGAGAUUGGGUGUUCGAAAAGAAAGAUGUUGAGGAGGCCGAGUUAGAUGAGACUGUAGAAGAUAUCAUAAACUCAAGUUCCUACAAUGAAACUCAAUCAACUCAAUGCUCGGCCAAUGUUGAACCUAAUUCAUAGUGAGAUGAAUCAUGAUCAUGGAAACUCCUUUUUGGUUUUGGUUUAGAUAUGGAUGUUGUUAGUGUUUCUUUCUUUUUUUAGUUUUGCUUUGACUAUGGAUGGUGUCAUUGGACUUAUGGAGUUAUGGACCUUAUGAUGGUGGUUAUACAAUAUUAAGUUGAUAUUUAUAGCUAUUUGGUAGUUUCUUAUUCAAUAUAUGAAUCCUUUAUAGAAACUAUGAAUCUUGUUGUUUUCAUCUAUCUCAUUCUUAUGUUAUAAUGAGACAGGUUCAUUCUUAUGUUAUUCAAUAUAGUUAUUUGGUAGCUAUUCUUAUGUCCCACUUGGUUCCUCAUCCUGUCUGGAUGUAUAUAAGGUAACCAUUCAUGUAGCUAUAAAUGAAUGGAGAUCUAAUCAUUUAGCUUGAGACUAGAUUCCACUGGGUUCCUCAUCCUGUUUGGUUUAUCUAUUUAGCUUGAAAUCUGAUUAUUUAGACGUUCAGGCGAACUCUCCCAGUGUUGGCGUGACUCAUUUGUGCCCGAUAUGAACUUAAAUUGUGAUCUGAAGUUGGUGCAGGCAACUGGUACUUGAUCUGUUCGAUCACAUAACUUUUGUCCUCUUAUAUUGAGUAAGUUACGGAGUGAUGUUUUGAGGGAAGCAAUUUCUCUCAGAUUGCAAAUGAUUCUAGGGAGAAGAAGCGCAAUUUUACUGAAACCAUUGAGCUACAAAUUGGUCUGAAAAACUAUAACCCCCAAAAAGAUAAGCAUUUCAGUGGAUCUUAUGUUUACCUAAUGUGAUUUUUAAUGGCAAACAUCAAACAAAUAACUUGUCUAAUGCAUUUAUAUUCAGGGCCUGGUUGUUCUUCUAUUGGCAAUUGGAGCUGAUGCUUAGGGCUACACAGCAAUAUAAAUUUAAUUGGAGAUAUAUCGAUGCGCGACCUUUUAGUUGUUUAUGACAAUGUUAAGCAGCGGAUUGGAUGGGCCAGCGCAGAGCCGCAGACUGUAGCAGGGCUUUCAAGUCUGUAACUUACCCGUUGGAAUGAUUUGAGUCCUUCUUGAAAGGGUUGACAAUAAGACGAAGACAUGACCAUCCAUUGUCUCUGACUCGAUGUUUGCAUGCAUACAUGCAGAACUUAGAAUGAAACCUUUCUUACUCUACCAUCCGAUGAUGUAAUAUUAAAUACAUCAAAAUUCUCAUCUUUUCUCUGUGAGUAUUUUGUUGCUGUGCUAUCUUUACACUGUAAGCUCUUUGAAUAAGGGAAUGGGAGCAGCGCUUUGCAUUGUGCGCUGAACAUAAAAACAUGGCCUCUUUUUGUACAAACUGUAAGGAAUGGGAUCUGUUUUCUUGAUUUUUGUAAU
Phoenix dactylifera (date palm) is the source of this 2610-nucleotide non-coding RNA. The record is from RefSeq and is a predicted model, not a curated record. NCBI's taxonomy places the organism in Eukaryota, Viridiplantae, Streptophyta, Magnoliopsida, Arecales, Arecaceae.